Non-coding RNA from Plutella xylostella (diamondback moth), 657 nucleotides. The record is from RefSeq and is a predicted model, not a curated record. Lineage: Eukaryota; Metazoa; Arthropoda; Insecta; Lepidoptera; Plutellidae.
ACAAGAGAAAAUCCAUUUGAUUUGUCAAUUUCUGCAAAGAGGCUGACGCUACAUAAUUUAAUUUAUUUAGUGGUUUUCUGGUUCAAAUAAUGCCAAAAGCGUUGAAAAGUGAUGCAAGAAAAGUUAUAUUAGAUGUAUACGCUUUUAUGCAAGAAGAAAAACGUAAUAAGGCGCCUUUAAUUCCGUUUGAAAAAUUGGAAGAACGAGUUGCAGCGGCUACAGGUGUGAGUGACAGAUUGGUUAGAAAAAUAGUUAAAGAAAUGAAACAUGCUGAGGAGACAGGUGAAAAGAUUUCUACUCCCGGGAAGAAAAGAAACAAAAACAGAACAAAGGGAAGGAUUGAAGUUGAUGAUUUUGAUCUUGGUGUCAUAAGAUGAAAAGUUCAGGAAUUUUACUCGGUGAAAAAGGAGAUUCCUAGCAUUCCCAAACUGCUUAACAUUCUAAGAGAAGAUAUUGAUUUCAAAGGCAGCCGUGAGGUUUUAAGAAAACUUCUGCAUAAAAGCGUUAAUGACAUCUUCUCCCAACCUAACAAGGGUUGGCUGGAAAAAAAUGCUUUUUACCAAUAAGCCUUUGUACAUAAUCUGUUUCUUUUAAAUGUUAUGCUGUUGUUUUUGUUACUUUAUAAAGUGUUCAUAAUAAAUAAAUGAUAAAUUUAAA